This 481-nucleotide ribosomal RNA is filed under the name uncultured bacterium. RNAcentral describes it as "partial 16S ribosomal RNA". It matches the Rfam family "Bacterial small subunit ribosomal RNA", at positions 28 to 523 of the family's 1533-position model. The record is from RNAcentral.
GACGAACGCUGGCGGCGUGCUUAACACAUGCAAGUCGAACGGUGAAAGGGAGCUUGCUCCCUGGAUCAGUGGCGAACGGGUGAGUAACACGUGGGCAACCUGCCCCAGACUUCGGGAUAACGCUUCGAAAGAGGUGCUAAUACCGGAUACGAACUCCUUGGGCAUCCUUGGAGUUGGAAAGUUUUUCGGUCUGGGAUGGGCCCGCGGCCUAUCAGCUUGUUGGUGAGGGAACGGCUCACCAAGGCGACGACGGGUAGCCGGCCUGAGAGGGCGACCGGCCACACUGGGACUGAGACACGGCCCAGACUCCUACGGGAGGCAGCAGUGGGGAAUAUUGCGCAAUGGGCGAAAGCCUGACGCAGCAACGCCGCGUGAGGGAUGGCGGCCUUCGGGUUGUAAACCUCUUUCAGCAGGGAAGAAGCGAAAGUGACGGUACCUGCAGAAGAAGCACCGGCUAACUACGUGCCAGCAGCCGCAGUAA